This is a long non-coding RNA of Fukomys damarensis (Damara mole-rat), 5224 nucleotides long. Lineage: Eukaryota; Metazoa; Chordata; Mammalia; Rodentia; Bathyergidae. The record is from Ensembl.
UAUGGGCACCUGUGGUCUAAAUCCUACAACACCAGAGAUGACAGCAAAUACCACACGCUAAAGCAACGAGCUGUAGUAACACGAGGCUGCAAUUCAGCUGCGUGGGUCAGGGGAAGUGGUCGGUUCUUGGUUUUGGAACCAGACGGCCCCCUCUGGAGCCCAGAUUCUGCCACUUACCUUAGGAGGCGAGGUCUUUUUCUGUGCCUCACUUUGCUGACAAGCGGAGAUGAUCAUCACCAAGGGGCUAACGCUGGCAAAGUGGUUAAAACAUCACCGACCAAAGGAAGAUCCUUUGUCAUUUUUGUUGACUUCUCAGGUGGCAAUGGAAGAGAGGAAAUGACAGCACCUGGUGCACUGCUUGGGGAAGCAGGAAACCGGGUGCAUUUAAAGGAAGGGGCAGCGCGAGGCAGCCACGCACAGGUGUCGGCGUGUACUUUGCUCUCCGAGAUAAGCGAAGCCUGUGCCUAUUUAAACGUGGGUGGCAAAGGGGCCAGCGGACAGGAAGACGGGAGAGAGCGGGCGGCGUGGGAGCAGGAUGAUCUGCAGCUUGGACACCGGAGAUUCGAGGGUCCACGUUUGCACCUCCAUCUCACCCCCGUGACCAUCUCGGGAAAGGCAUCCUGCUGCUGAGCUCAGGCCCGGGCUCAUCUCUUACCCCUGACACCACAGUGAUAUUUUGUUAAUGAAAUGCAAAUAUGUGUGUUAUUUCCUUUCUUAAUACCCUCAAUAUUUUCCCAUGACCUUCAGUAUAAAAUUAAAACAAGUUAGUUCACAGAGCUCUCUACAGCCUUUUCUCUGCCCUGUCUUUGGUCUUCUCUGUCACCUCCAUCCUGUUUUCCAGUGAACACAAACUCUUGUUUCCUGCUCAUGAUAUGCAUGGAUUUUCCUUUUCUGAUACACUCCCUGCUCCUCUUCCCUGCCUGACUAAUCCAACCCAUCUUCCAAGGUUCAGCCCAACUGCUGCUUCCUCCAGGAAACUGUGUCUCUCAUUAAAACACCUGUGUUGUAAUUUGUUUCUAUUUAUCCAUCAUUUUUGCUUUCUGAGAUGAACAUUUCAUUUUUCUUCUGAGGUGGCUGUCAUGAUUUACACUAUUCAACAAAUUAUUGCUGGUAAAAGAACAGCAAGAAGAUGUACAAUAAUUAACUAUGAAAGUUUGAGUAAAAGUAGUCAUUUCAGAUGAUUCCAGGCACAAACUAUCUUUAUGUUAUUUAAAACAGGUAAUUAGCAACAAAUUUUUAUUACUCUGUACAUUUGAUGAUUUUGUAGUCACAGACAGAACAAAUUUUAUACUUAUUCUUGAAACAGGCAGAUAUUCUGUGGCAAAAACAUAAAUUCGAGCAAGAAUGUCAUAACUUCUUAGUUGGUAGAAAUUUAAAUGUAAUCUUGGAAACUCAAGGAAAAAUUUAAAGUUGAGUUGACUGAGACCCUCCAGCAUUUCUUUCUUUUUCUUUUUAGGAAAGGGUCUUGCUGUGUAUUUCAGGCUGGCCUUAAACUCACAGUGAGUCUCCUGCCUCAGUCUCCUGAAUGCUGAGAUUACAAGCAUGCAAGCCCUGCAGAUCCAGAAUUUCCUGAAAAGCAAAAUAGUGCAGUUUUGCAGCAAAACAGGCUUUGACUUUGGGUAGACCUGAGUUUGAAUUCUGAACAACACCAGGCAGUCAUAUGAUUAUGAAAACAUUUUGCCUUACUUUGCUUAGCCAGUUUCCUUAUUUUUAGGACACAAUAACAUCUACCUUGCAAUGUAGUUGCAAAGAAUACACAAAACUAAGUUAUGUGAGGCCUUUAUUUUUAAGAACACUGUAAAUCCUCAGAGGGCAAUGACGUCCAAAGAAAGCCAUUUACAAGAUGCCUCAACUUUGAAAACAGGGCUGUAAUUUGGAUGUGAGAGGAAUUAUGAGAGCACCAAAGCAGCGCUGACAUAUAGUAAGGCUGAGUGAUUUUACCAUUCUUUUAAGAGUUGAAUUACCUUUAGCAAGCUGUGGAACCACUGGGAUUUCCUCUUCGGGUGCCAGCAAGAAUGUUCCUGCCCACAGCUAAGGUGGUUUUAAAAUAAAACUCCAAAAGCAUAACUAACAUGUAAGUGCUUUCAAAAGUAAAAGGAAUCUGCAGUUCCCAUUAAUAUUUGGAUUAGAUGUAGGCUAGAGGGUAAGAAGGCAAAAAAAAGAAGUGAGAGUUAUCAAUGGCGUUAUCUAAACCGCCUAUUUCGGGGUAGUCUCUGCAUUGUACCGUGGUACCAGGCCAACGGGUUUUAAGUGAAACUUUCUUCUUGCAUACCUGCCAAUGAAAAUGAGGGUUCAGUGGUCGUCCUGUAGGACCAGGAGAAUCCAGUUACAGAACUCAGUUUUUGUGUUAUGCUUAACUCAUUGCACAACUACUGCCAUAUUGCAAAACUCUACUAGUACCAGGCAGAAAAAUGACAAAUACCAGGGGACUCAUAGAUUUGGCAUGGCAUUUCCCAACCCCGACUCCUUAUACUAACCACCCAAAGAUGAUUAAAAUAAAAAUUCCUAGCUACUUCCCCAGAGAUUAUGUGUCAGAAAGUCUGGCAUAGGGCCUGAGUGUUUUCUUUCUUUUUUCUUUUCUUUUUAACAAAUGAGCUCUUUGCAGGCAGUUCUUAUCAUCCAGGUAUGACAACUUUCAUGUGGUCCAUAGUUCUCAAGCAUCAUACUAUGCCAUCAGCAACAUCCCCCAGGAACUUGCUAGAAAUGCAGAUUCUUCGUUCUCACCCAGAUACUGGAUCAGAUAUGCUGGAGGAUAGAACCCAGAAGCCUCUGUAUGAGAAACCCUCUGAAAAUCCUUAUGCACACUAAAGCUUGAAAAACGACAUUGUCAAGUGUUUCCAAGACAGCUGGAAACUGAGAAUGUCGCUGUGAUGUGUGAAAUAGGAAAAUUCCUCAUCAAAUUCUCCAGGACUAGGAAGGUCACAACUUUAAGUAGCAAAUCCUGCUCUUUCCUUGACAUCACUACAUCCAUCUUCAUUUUCUACGAAAGAGUUUGAUUCUGUAGAUCCUUCUCAAUUUCCCAAUUGAUCGGGACUGCUCUCCUUUCUCCUGCUGGAUGAUAAACAUCUUUGUUAUUUCUUUUCUCACUUCAGUUCAUCUGGGCUGCUUCACUCCUUCUUUAAAGACAUUGGUUGAAUCCCCACUGGCUCUGUCUACUUGUGGCUGAGACCACACUUCUGUCAAAGGGCUUUUAAUAUCUGAAUGUAUCCGGAGGUCUGCCACCAUAUUCUUCUAAGGGAAGGAUUUAGCUGAUGACCCAUUGUCCUUUUUUCUUUCUUUUUUUUUUUUAAUUCUUUGGAAGAUGAAGGCAAUGACUAAUGAUAUUUGCCAUUUUUUAAAUGGCCUUCAUUUUCAGCGCUAACUCCUGGGAUUGCUGAUAUCCAUAUAUUCUCAUCUUGUGUAUGAAGCAAAGAUAAAAAGGAAAUCGCCACCGACUGAGGAGAUUAUGCUGGCACCACAGAAAAGAAGAUGCAUUAGCACUAAUUUUCUGAGGCUGCUGUAACAAAGUUCCACAUGCUGUACUGUUGAAGCAAGAGAAAUUUACUGUCUCCUUAUAAUGCCAUCCUGAAGCCUUGAGGUUCAAGAUCCAGCCUCUUGUGGUUUGUUGGCAAACUUUGGCGUUCCGGGGAUCACAGACACUCUCACUGUCCUCUCUCAGGCUUCACGUUCACAUGAUGUUCUUCCCAAGUCUGGGUCUGUGGCUUACGUUUCUUUCUUUUAUAAGGAAAUCAGCAUCCUUGGAUUAAGAGCCUGCCCUGCCUCAUCUUAACUGCAAUUACCUUAUUUUCAAAUAAUGUCACAUUCUGAGGACAGGGAGGCAGAAUGUCAACACAAGAAUUUGGGAGGAAAACUUGCUCAUAGCUGAAGAGUUGGCUGCUUUAGAGAUGAAGCCAAACAUAAACUCCAAGAUCAUAAGAACUGACAUACUAUUGCUUGAGAGAUUUAAUGGGUUUAGGAAUUGAAUACAAAUUUCAGUGACACAGUCCAGCCCUAGCUACAACUAUGAAAGUCAUAUCGCAAGUGCUAUUUCUGACCUAGAAAUAUCUGCAAGUUUUCCCUGUUAAAAAACAAAGGGGGAAGAGAGCCAAUUUUAUAAAGGAGAGGGUAGGAGAGAUAUCUGUGUUAGGUUUCAAAUCAAAUUUUAAAUUAUCAAAGUCAAGUUAAGAAGGAGGAGAGGUUAUGAGAUUCCUUCUUGCGGUCUCAACUUAAGUAGAUUUCACUGCUUUAAGUAGAUUUCUCCCUACAAGUUUCCCAAUCAGGGCCACAUACUCUGCUAGGAAUUGGAGUUCGAAACCAGAUGCUACACAUUUAAAAGAGGACAUUCGUGGAUUCAUAAAGCCAUGUAACUGAGACAGCAUCCAAACAAGUGUAUGAUGCUGUUACUGAGUGGGGAAAGUAACUAUGGGUAGUUCUGCUAUGACUUUCUUGAGUCAGACAAGUGUAUUUGAGGAUUUUAAUUUACUGGUGCACAGAAAACCUUUCCAAAGAGCACCACAAGCAGUUCCACUCUCAUUGAUUCCCCUGUGAAAGUCUCAUUUUGAGUAGAAGUGCCUCUCUACUCCCUUUAUCUUCCAAGUCUGACUCUUGGCAGCUGUUCUGUGCUUCCCAGCAGCGAAAGGCCGCUGAUAACUGCGGAGAUCAUAGCUUCAUGUUUGUUUCUACUGCAGGUACCAUUAACCUGGCAUUUACGCUGUACCAGUAAAAUCCCCUUGGCUGUACUUUUUUAUUACCACAUUCACGGACCCCUGUGCCCCACUUUUUAAAAGGAAAAACAGUGGUUUGUUGGGAAGAUAAUGGACUUAUGUUGUAGGGAGUUAUGCAACUGUUUUUGAAAAAGUAAUACAAUUUCAAGCACAUUUCUAAGGUCCUUUUGAUAUCAACACUCUUGCUGUUUUCUCAGUCACUGUGGUAUUUGUCCAAUACUUGGCUCAUGCUAAUCUGGUACAAAGCUGAACAGAUAAUUUUCUUGAAAUGGCUCACCACCAAAGGCUAAUUAUAAGUAGUACACUUAGAAUAUCUCUAUAUAUACUAAUGGUUGUAAGAAAGAGAGGGGAAAUAGCUAUAUACUUCACUCAGACCUCAAGACCAUAAAAGAAACUAAUCUCCCAUUGUGGAGGUGGCUACCCAAGCCCAUGGACAGGCUGGUGAGGAUAAAAAUAAACCACGUUUAGGAGAUGGCAUCAACAGCAAAAGUCUAGUGAGGACCCACCCUCGACUGGGUUUG